GCGCCAGUAGCUCAGUUGGAUAGAGCAAGCGCCUUCUAAGCGCUAGGUCAAAGGUUCGAAUCCUUUCUGGCGUA
This 74-nucleotide transfer RNA is filed under the name Candidatus Dojkabacteria bacterium. RNAcentral describes it as "tRNA-Arg". It matches the Rfam family "tRNA". From Rfam's summary of the family: Transfer RNA (tRNA) molecules are approximately 80 nucleotides in length. Their secondary structure includes four short double-helical elements and three loops (D, anti-codon, and T loops). The record is from RNAcentral.